Pelobates cultripes (western spadefoot toad) is the source of this 544-nucleotide non-coding RNA. NCBI's taxonomy places the organism in Eukaryota, Metazoa, Chordata, Amphibia, Anura, Pelobatidae. The record is from the annotation of a GenBank genome assembly.
CUCCAUUCAGCAGAACCGGCAUUUUACAUUUAAAUCUAUAACUUUAACAAUACUUGGUAGAUUUAAAUGAAUGGACGUUCGAUAGAUAGCUGGGGUCUGAGUGCACAGUUCGUGAGAAUACCGCUCAGAUUCCAGCUAAAACAACCGAACGCCGCACGAAACACACUUUGCCAGUGAGUUUGCCCCAAAGUACCGAACACCGAUGGGGGAACCCUAAUAGCGGAAGACCGGAGCUCCCGAACGGCCUGGAAGUCCAGCGGUGUUCGCGCCGAGUAGCCGUUUUCAGUUCCACGCGCUCGACGACCAAACACCGCUGGGGAGACAAAGGAUCCAAGAUGGCUGACCGCCACGUGGUCGGUAGCCGAACGGUGGCCCCCUAGGAAAGCCUCUAAUUACCGAUUGCAACAUUGUUGCAAUCGGUUAACGAGCGCCACACGUCGCUCUCUGUGUGGGCUAUUAGGGGGUAGCUCAUUCGGUUCACGAACAGCCUGUAAAGUGGCUGUUCGUGAAACGAAACACAUGAAUGCUAGCAUAUGAAUUCAAU